Molecule: long non-coding RNA, 1178 nt
Filed under: Ananas comosus (pineapple)
Lineage: Eukaryota; Viridiplantae; Streptophyta; Magnoliopsida; Poales; Bromeliaceae
Description: long non-coding RNA (ACOM_LNC005975)
Source: RNAcentral
AUUUUUAAUUCAAAUUUGAUAUUCAAAAUUUAUAAAUUUAAAAUUGUUAAAAUUUAACUUUAAUCUACUGUAAUUAAAAUUUUUAAUUGUUAAUUCAAAUUUGAUAGCCAAAAUUAAAUUCAAUUUAUGUUAAAUUUUAAUUUUAAUAUAAAACCUAUGGAUAGGAAUGCUAUUUUUUAACAGAUUGAUCAUAACCGCUCGUUUUUAUUUAAAAUAUUUUUUAACAAAUUAAUCAUAACCAUUUAUAAAAUAACCAUUUAUAAAAUUUGAUAUGUUGAUAGAUAAGAAUGUUAUUUUUUAAUAGAUUGAUCACAAUCAUUUAUUUUUAUUUAAGAUAUUUUUUAACAACUUAAUUAUAACUGUUGGUAAAGAAUAUUUUUUUAUUUUUUUAAUUACGUCUGUCAUAAUGUCAUUAUAGUAUAGAUAUAAAUAAGUAUGAAGUGUGAAGAAAAUUAUUGUUAAAUAAGUUAUUAGAUAAGAUGGAAUAUAGAUAUUAUGUAGGCAAUAGUUAUUAGGAGAUAGAGUGCGUGUAUAAAAGGUAAAAUUUGAUACACACUGCGUGAGAGUAAUUUAGAUAAAAAAAUUGACAAAUACAUAAUUCGUCAGUCAUUGAAUUAGAUUCAACGACUAAAAAUUAAUAAAUUUUAUGAUAAUUUGAAAAUAAAAUAAAAAUUAUAUUUUAUAAAUAGUAUAGAUAUAUAGUAAAGAGUUACUAUGUUAUCGGAAGUAUAAAAGAUUUAAUGUUUUCGAUUUUUUAACCCUUAGAUCAAGAAUUGUACAGUUGGGAUAAUUGCGGUCUCCGCUAAGAUUGAGUAGUACCCAUAGUUAGUUAAUUCGGAUUCGGCAAAAAUUCGGUACGGGUAUAAUUCGGAUAAAAUUCGUCUUCUAAUUUUUAAAUUCGUUGAAAAAAAAGGCUAAAAAACGGAUUCGCCAAUUAUUCGGAUACGUGAUUUAUACGGAUAUUAUACGUUCACCAAUUAAAAAUUCGGGAUCAAAAAUUCGGCUAUUAAAUUAAAUUUUUUUCCUCUCAAGAUUUAUGCUAUUAGCAUAAAUACUCAUAUUUUUAAAAAAUAUAAGAAUAAAAAGCUACAAAAUUAAACUAAUUAAGUAAAAAAAUAAUAAUAAACUAUAUUAUGCCUCAAAAUAAAGAAAUAAUUAAGCAAAUAAGAUAUCAAGAU